RNAcentral lists this non-coding RNA (22 nucleotides) under Gossypium hirsutum (cotton). Lineage: Eukaryota; Viridiplantae; Streptophyta; Magnoliopsida; Malvales; Malvaceae. The record is from RNAcentral.
UAUCCCGACCAUCCUAGCCGAG